RNAcentral lists this long non-coding RNA (214 nucleotides) under Carica papaya (papaya). RNAcentral describes it as "long non-coding RNA (CPAP_LNC005278)". The record is from RNAcentral. Lineage: Eukaryota; Viridiplantae; Streptophyta; Magnoliopsida; Brassicales; Caricaceae.
UUGUUCAUAGUCUUUAGGACCAUAGUGGUUGGCACGACCGUCGUCAUAUGUUGUACUAUGGUGUGAUGAUCUAUAAAUCUACUAUGGUGUGGCGAGCCACAAAUCAGCUAUGGUGUAGCGAGUUGCAAAUGUACUAUAGUUGAGAAAGUCGUAACUUGCUGAUAGUGUUACCACAGUGGUAGUUGGGAGUCUGUAUUAGCCAGUAGAUAAAAAG